CCUACGGGAGGCAGCAGUGAGGAAUAUUGGUCAAUGGACGAGAGUCUGAACCAGCCAAGUAGCGUGAAGGAUGACUGCCCUAUGGGUUGUAAACUUCUUUUAUAUGGGAAUAAAAUGUUCCACGUGUGGGAUUUUGUAUGUACCAUAUGAAUAAGGAUCGGCUAACUCCGUGCCAGCAGCCGCGGUAAUACGGAGGAUCCGAGGUUUAUCCGGAUUUAUUGGGUUGAAAGGGAGAGUAGGUGGAUUGUUAAGCCAGUUGUGAAAGUUUCCGGCUCAACCGUAAAAUUGCAGUUGAAACUGGCAGUCUUGAGUACAGUAGAGGUGGGCGGAAGUCGUGGUGUAGCGGUGAAAUGCUUAGAGAUCACGAAGAACUCCGAUUGCGAAGGCAGUUCACUGGACUGCAACUGACACUGAGGCUCGAAAGUGUGGGUAUCAAACAGGAUUAGAUACCCUUGUAGUC
This 460-nucleotide ribosomal RNA is filed under the name uncultured bacterium. Its description in RNAcentral is "partial 16S ribosomal RNA". It matches the Rfam family "Bacterial small subunit ribosomal RNA", at positions 338 to 795 of the family's 1533-position model. The record is from RNAcentral.